This is a non-coding RNA of Paramuricea clavata, 1075 nucleotides long. Lineage: Eukaryota; Metazoa; Cnidaria; Anthozoa; Malacalcyonacea; Plexauridae. The record is from the annotation of a GenBank genome assembly.
CGCUUGUAAAGUAAUCAAAACAUCGCGAAAUAUUUUCGGUGAUAUUGUUAGAUUUUACUACACUGUCUGUUCACUGCAAUAGCUCGACAAAUUCUAACAGAUUUUACAAUUGUUCCAUAUUGUAAAUCUGUAGACUGGUAUAUGUAUAACAAAUAUAUCUCUCAGCUCUCGCAGAUAAUCGAUUUAAGAUAUGAAUAUGAAUACGUACAAAUGAAGAUAUGUACGACCCAAGCCUCAAGGUCAAAGGUCAAGCCUCACAAUUUUCGUGGGUAAAGCUGUGAUUGGCUAAUUUUGAGGAAAGGAAUUCUUGGCCAAAGUAAGCAUACCUUACGUGAGGGCACAGCCCGCUAAGUAGGUAUGCGUAGAAAACUAGACAAACAUUUGCAUGCAGUGAAAUCGUUUCCGUGGACAGAGCGUCAAACUGACAAAAUUGGAAACGACAUUUUAGAAACGCUCGGAAACGUUACAGUGUGCACAUCUAGUCUAAAAUGCACCAAAUCUGCGACACGGACGCGACUAAAAAACAGUCGCUAAUAAUGGGAGACUACACACGUAAAAACGCACAAGUUGUUACAAGUCUGCAAACAAGCUGUUACACGUCUGUUCACAAGCUGUCAACAAGUUGUGCUCGCACUGCUUGUUCCCAGUUUGUUGUAACAAGUUUGAAACAAGCUGUUAACAACUUGUAACAAGCUUGAUGCCAUUAUCAGCCUUGUUACAAGAUUGUGCUAACAAGUUUGUUACAGCCAUGAUAUAACAAGGAUGUUACAAGGUUGUCAACACAAGAUUGUAACAAUCUUGUUAUAUCAAGCAUGUCACAGACUUGUCAGAACAACGUUAGUAAGUAAGUAAGUGAACUUUAUUUAACCACGGUAGACUCAUCAGGAUUUACAAUAAAAUAGACAAGGGACAUUACAAAUAACAAAAUAUGGAAAUACAUUAUUAAUACCUGUUUUCCAUGAUUGCCGUGCAUUAUUAACUAAUAAUGUAGAUAGGAGUAAAAAUAUUAAAAUUAUCGAAUGAAGUUGCUACAAUCAGCCUUGAAUUUACGUAAAGAGCUAGCCUGCCGUAAUUC